RNAcentral lists this ribosomal RNA (253 nucleotides) under uncultured bacterium. RNAcentral's name for it is "partial 16S ribosomal RNA". It matches the Rfam family "Bacterial small subunit ribosomal RNA", at positions 524 to 776 of the family's 1533-position model. The record is from RNAcentral.
UACGUAGGGUGCAAGCGUUAAUCGGAAUUACUGGGCGUAAAGCGUGCGCAGGCGGUUUUGUAAGACAGAGGUGAAAUCCCCGGGCUCAACCUGGGAACUGCCUUUGUGACUGCAAGGCUUGAGUGCGGUAGGGGAAGGUGGAAUUCCGAGUGUAGCGGUGAAAUGCGUAGAUAUUGGGAAGAACACCGGUGGCGAAGGCGGCUCACUGGCUCAUUUCUGACGCUCAGGCGCGACAGCGUGGGGAGCAAACAGG